ACAAUUACCUGGCAGGGGAGAUACCAUGAUCACAAAGGUCGGUUUUCCCAGGGCGAGGCUUAUCCAUUGCAUUCCUGAUGUGUGCUGAUCCCUGUGAUUUCCACAAACGUGAGAUACUCAACUGCAUAAUUGGUGGUAGUGGGGGACUGUGUUUGUGCUUUCCCUUA
Peromyscus maniculatus bairdii (prairie deer mouse) is the source of this 167-nucleotide small nuclear RNA. Its record names the gene U1. It matches the Rfam family "U1 spliceosomal RNA". From Rfam's summary of the family: U1 is a small nuclear RNA (snRNA) component of the spliceosome (involved in pre-mRNA splicing). Its 5' end forms complementary base pairs with the 5' splice junction, thus defining the 5' donor site of an intron. There are significant differences in sequence and secondary structure between metazoan and yeast U1 snRNAs, the latter being much longer (568 nucleotides as compared to 164 nucleotides in human). The record is from Ensembl. Lineage: Eukaryota; Metazoa; Chordata; Mammalia; Rodentia; Cricetidae.